UACGUAGGGUGCAAGCGUUGUCCGGAAUUACUGGGCGUAAAGGGCUCGUAGGCGGCCAACUAAGUCAGACGUGAAAUCCCUCGGCUUAACCGGGGAACUGCAUCUGAUACUGGAUGGCUUGAGUUCGGGAGAGGGAUGCGGAAUUCCAGGUGUAGCGGUGAAAUGCGUAGAUAUCUGGAGGAGCACCGGUGGCGAAGGCGGCAUCCUGGACCGGCACUGACGCUGAGGAGCGAAAGCCAGGGGAGCAAACGGG
This 253-nucleotide ribosomal RNA is filed under the name uncultured bacterium. Its description in RNAcentral is "partial 16S ribosomal RNA". It matches the Rfam family "Bacterial small subunit ribosomal RNA", at positions 524 to 776 of the family's 1533-position model. The record is from RNAcentral.